GUGGGGAAUUUUGGACAAUGGGCGCAAGCCUGAUCCAGCCAUUCCGCGUGCAGGAUGAAGGCCUUCGGGUUGUAAACUGCUUUUGUACGGAACGAAAAGGUUCUCUCUAAUACAGGGGGCUGAUGACGGUACCGUAAGAAUAAGCACCGGCUAACUACGUGCCAGCAGCCGCGGUAAUACGUAGGGUGCAAGCGUUAAUCGGAAUUACUGGGCUUAAAGCGUGCGCAGGCGGUGAUGUAAGACAGAUGUGAAAUCCCCGGGCUCAACAUGGGAACUGCAUUUGUGACUGCAUUGCUGGAGUGCGGCAGAGGGGGAUGGAAUUCCGCGUGUAGCAGUGAAAUGCGUAGAUAUGCGGAGGAACACCGAUGGCGAAGGCAAUCCCCUGGGCCUGCACUGACGCUCAUGCACGAAAGCGUGGGGAGCAAACAGGAUUAGAAACCCGUGUAGUCC
RNAcentral lists this ribosomal RNA (450 nucleotides) under uncultured bacterium. RNAcentral describes it as "partial 16S ribosomal RNA". It matches the Rfam family "Bacterial small subunit ribosomal RNA", at positions 354 to 796 of the family's 1533-position model. The record is from RNAcentral.